Molecule: long non-coding RNA, 2624 nt
Organism: Numida meleagris (helmeted guineafowl)
Lineage: Eukaryota; Metazoa; Chordata; Aves; Galliformes; Numididae
Exons: 3
Source: RefSeq, a predicted model, not a curated record
CCCUGGCAAAGAAGCCGAUACAGGAUACCCAGCUGACCCCAGGAUGAAGGGAUGCUGGGGCACCCCGGGGACACCUUAUCCCCACGUGCCUGUAGCUUCUAUAAGUGCUGCCUUUGGCUUUUCUUGCAGCCCAUGGAGUCCAAGCAGAGGCUGUUUGCUGGGGUGCUGCUGUAAUGGGGCUGUGAUGGCUCAGAGGUUGAAUAUCAGCCUUUGUGCCCGUGUGGGGUGCUGGGGGGCAGAAGCCAUGUCAGACCCAGAUCUCCACAUUAAGGAUCCAGGCUGCAGUUUGGAGGUGGAAAUCUGUAGCAACUUCAGUGCGGACUAGCACCGCACCCACAGGGAAACCAAGUCACAGAGCAAAAAAAUUUAAAAUGGAUCCCAAAGUCAAGCAGGGAGUCAUGGAAAACACCAAUCUUGGCACCACCAAAGGGAAGGCUGGGGUGGUUCCUGCUGCCGGCACCUCCUCUGCAGGGGUUGGACUCCAAGUGGACAUGCCUGCUCCCCAAAUCAGUGCCGUGCACUCGCUGAGUCUUCUUAUCACACCCCAUGCUGGCGGCCUCACGCUGCAUUAGCAAAUAGCUUGAAAACGAGGGAAGAAAGCCUUCUGCCUUGUCCAACUGCACGAAUCCCCACCAGCAUCUUCCAGGAGGAGAUUUCUCCCCUCCAACCUGACAGUGGCUGUAGUGCCGGGGCCGCCCACCCGUGCCUAAUGCUUCUGCCCACUGGGUCUGUGCUCACUGCCUUCCUUCUUCCUGCCCUAAAUGAGCCUUGUUAUGUGUCCUCUGCUUCUAUUUUUAUUAAAAAUUUAAUGCGUUGCCAAUUUGCCCUCUUGCCAGCAGCGGCUGCAGCAGCAGCAGCCAUAAGUAUCCUCCGGAGAAAUAAAGGGAGGCAGCCUUGAAUAAUCUACGAGCAGCGAUUAUUAUCUGGGUUACAUCCUUUAAAGUAUAUAUAGCUUAAAAGGGAAGGCUUGGUGGAGCUGGGAGGGAGGAAAGAGGUCUCUGCUUGCUGGGAGAAGCUCUGAUUAACACUAGGGAAGUUUUCUUUACGCCCCUUGCUGCUCCAAGCAUGGGAGGAGAGGGGAUGCUCUUAAACCUCCCCAAACUCCAUGUCCUUCUGACAGCAUCCUACAGAAGCUCCUAGUUGAUGGUCAUUGACCAAAACAUUUGUUUUUAACACCAGACGUCAGCCAAAGAGGACUUGGUUGUUAAUCACUGCCUCUGAUCCAUGUUAUUUCUGUGUUUUAGCUGUUUGAUUGAGAAAGAGACGUUGAUGAGAUCUGUGUUCUUGCUAACUUUGAUUUCCGGAAGGAAAUAAGUAUAUGCUUUGUAAUAAUAACAGUUUUAAAGAACAAGCAAGUCUGUCCAAGUUAAUGAAGGCCGUACAAUCAGCCUGCCGGCAUAAAUCAUGUUAUUCUGUAGAAGACGUUGACAAAUGGCAUCCGAAAGUGUAGAAGAGAGGAAAACAAACAACGCAACCCCUUCCCCCAGCUCUUCUGGGAGCAAUGCAAAACUUGGGAGAUGCAUCGAAUUUCCAUCUCGUACCGCACUAACUGUGCUGGGUAAUGGGCCACAAGUCACCACUGACUUCAUGCCAGUAUCAGAGUGAAAGGUGAAAUAUCCAGUUCACUCUGAUAACUCCCCCCAUGACUCGAGGGAGCAGGAAUGCAUAUUUCCGAGGUGCCGCUGCUUUGCCUCGUGGCUGUGACGGGCUCUGGAGAGAGGACAUUUCCCAGGAUCAAUCUACUGCUCGUAGGACUCUGCUCAUCACUUUCAGCUCUUGCGUAGCCCUUUUGUGCAGAUGGGAAUGGCUUUGUGCAAGAGCAACGGCCAAAGAGCAUUGUUGAAGAGUGGCAUGCACCCAAAAAGAAAGGAAACCUGGGCUCACUGCUAGAGCAGACAUGGGAAGAUCAACACUUUGGCAGCAUGAGCACACUGCAGAUCUGGAAACAGCACUAAACCUGUCCCAGCUGCACAUGGGAAAAGGUGAGAACGAUCAGCUGAGUUACAAUCUAUUAUUCAAGAUAACUUGGAAAGCUUUGCAAUUUUCUUUUCAGUGAAUUCGCUUCUGUAUAUAGCACUAGAGUAGUUAAUUUUCUAUGAAAACCCAGAAAGCUGCCUUCAAAAGAUAAUAAAGCUUGAUCAGUUCACCUGGGUUUCCUUUUUAAUUCACUCUGAAAGAAUACAUAACCUCCCUGCCUGUUUGUGAAGACACCUACUCUAUGUGCUUGUAGAACACCGGAUAAUAGACCAAAGAGUUUUAACUUGGUGAUAAAAAUAAUGCAUAGAUAAUGGGAUAAUUAUCAAGCUCCUACUUCACAAAUGCGAACUGGGGUUUUCCCUGCAUGCAGGUUUUCCCUCAUGUACAGCCAGGCCUUUGACCAAGCUGAAACGUAGCAUGAAAAUGGAGCAAAGCAAUUAACGGUCUUUGAUAAUGUUGAGUCUCCAGCUGAACAUCUACCAAGAGCAAGCAGCCAGGAGUGGCCACGUGGCACGGCAAGGCUCUCCUCAGUUGAUGUGACUUUUCUGGGGAGAAGGAAACUGUUUUUUUUCAGCAGGUAGAAACAGUCCAGGUGAGUUCACUGACUUCACCACCGCGCUACGAACAAAUCUCAGCCACCCAGGACA